This 447-nucleotide ribosomal RNA is filed under the name uncultured bacterium. RNAcentral describes it as "bacterial SSU rRNA". It matches the Rfam family "Bacterial small subunit ribosomal RNA", at positions 328 to 792 of the family's 1533-position model. The record is from RNAcentral.
UUUCCAGACUCCUACGGGAGGCAGCAGUGGGGGAUAUUGCACAAUGGGGGGAACCCUGAUGCAGCGACGCCGCGUGGGUGAAGAAGCGCCUCGGCGCGUAAAGCCCUGUCAGCAGGGAAGAAAAUGACGGUACCUGAAGAAGAAGCCCCGGCUAACUACGUGCCAGCAGCCGCGGUAAUACGUAGGGGGCAAGCGUUAUCCGGAUUUACUGGGUGUAAAGGGAGCGUAGGCGGUGAUGCAAGUCAGAAGUGAAGGCCCGCAGCUCAACUGCGGGACUGCUUUUGAAACUGUAUGACUAGAUUGCAGGAGAGGUAAGUGGAAUUCCUAGUGUAGCGGUGAAAUGCGUAGAUAUUAGGAGGAACACCAGUGGCGAAGGCGGCUUACUGGACUGUAAAUGACGCUGAGGCUCGAAAGCGUGGGGAGCAAACAGGAUUAGAUACCCUCGUA